AUUGAACGCUGGCGGCAGGCCUAACACAUGCAAGUCGAGCGGAUGAAGGGAGCUUGCUCCUGGAUUCAGCGGCGGACGGGUGAGUAAUGCCUAGGAAUCUGCCUGGUAGUGGGGGAUAACGUCCUGAAACGGGCGCUAAUACCGCAUACGUCCUGAGGGAGAAAGUGGGGGAUCUUCGGACCUCACGCUAUCAGAUGAGCCUAGGUCGGAUUAGCUAGUUGGUGGGGUAAAGGCCUACCAAGGCGACGAUCCGUAACUGGUCUGAGAGGAUGAUCAGUCACACUGGAACUGAGACACGGUCCAGACUCCUACGGGAGGCAGCAGUGGGGAAUAUUGGACAAUGGGCGAAAGCCUGAUCCAGCCAUGCCGCGUGUGUGAAGAAGGUCUUCGGAUUGUAAAGCACUUUAAGUUGGGAGGAAGGGCAGUAAGUUAAUACCUUGCUGUUUUGACGUUACCAACAGAAUAAGCACCGGCUAACUUCGUG
RNAcentral lists this ribosomal RNA (484 nucleotides) under uncultured bacterium. Its description in RNAcentral is "partial 16S ribosomal RNA". It matches the Rfam family "Bacterial small subunit ribosomal RNA", at positions 30 to 507 of the family's 1533-position model. The record is from RNAcentral.